GAUGAACGCUGGCGGCGUGCCUAAUACAUGCAAGUCGAGCGAACAGACGAGGAGCUUGCUCCUCUGACGUUAGCGGCGGACGGGUGAGUAACACGUGGAUAACCUACCUAUAAGACUGGGAUAACUUCGGGAAACCGGAGCUAAUACCGGAUAAUAUAUUGAACCGCAUGGUUCAAUAGUGAAAGACGGUUUUGCUGUCACUUAUAGAUGGAUCCGCGCCGCAUUAGCUAGUUGGUAAGGUAACGGCUUACCAAGGCAACGAUGCGUAGCCGACCUGAGAGGGUGAUCGGCCACACUGGAACUGAGACACGGUCCAGACUCCUACGGGAGGCAGCAGUAGGGAAUAUUCCGCAAUGGGCGAAAGCCUGACGGAGCAACGCCGCGUGAGUGAUGAAGGUCUUCGGAUCGUAAAACUCUGUUAUUAGGGAAGAACAAAUGUGUAAGUAACUAUGCACGUAUUGACGGUACCUAAUCAGAAAGCAACGGCUAACUACGUG
This 497-nucleotide ribosomal RNA is filed under the name uncultured bacterium. Its description in RNAcentral is "partial 16S ribosomal RNA". It matches the Rfam family "Bacterial small subunit ribosomal RNA", at positions 28 to 507 of the family's 1533-position model. The record is from RNAcentral.